UAGAGUUUGAUCCUGGCUCAGGAUGAACGCUAGCUACAGGCUUAACACAUGCAAGUCGAGGGGAAACGGCAUUGAGUGCUUGCACUCUUUGGACGUCGACCGGCGCACGGGUGAGUAACGCGUAUCCAACCUUCCCAUUACUGUGGGAUAACCUGCCGAAAGGCCGACUAAUACCGCAUAGUCUUCGAUGACGGCAUCAGAUUUGAAGUAAAGAUUUAUCGGUAAUGGAUGGGGAUACGUCUGAUUAGCAUGUUGGCGGGGUAACGGCCCACCAAGGCGACGAUCAGUAGGGGUUCUGAGAGGAAGGUCCCCCACAUUGGAACUGAGACACGGUCCAAACUCCUACGGGAGGCAGCAGUGAGGAAUAUUGGUCAAUGGACGGAAGUCUGAACCAGCCAAGUAGCGUGCAGGAUGACGGCCCUAUGGGUUGUAAACUGCUUUUGUAUGGGGAUAAAGUCAAUCACGUGUGAUUGUUUGCAGGUACCAUACGAAUAAGGACCGGCUAAUUCCGUGCCAGCAGCCGCGGUAAUACGGAAGGUCCAGGCGUUAUCCGGAUUUAUUGGGUUUAAAGGGAGCGUAGGCUGGAUAUUAAGUGUGUUGUGAAAUGUAGACGCUCAACGUCUGACUUGCAGCGCAUACUGGUUUCCUUGAGUACGCACAACGUUGGCGGAAUUCGUCGUGUAGCGGUGAAAUGCUUAGAUAUGACGAAGAACUCCGAUUGCGAAGGCAGCUGACGGGAGCGCAACUGACGCUUAAGCUCGAAGGUGCGGGUAUCAAACAGGAUUAGAUACCCUGGUAGUCCGCACAG
RNAcentral lists this ribosomal RNA (808 nucleotides) under uncultured bacterium. RNAcentral's name for it is "bacterial SSU rRNA". It matches the Rfam family "Bacterial small subunit ribosomal RNA", at positions 1 to 802 of the family's 1533-position model. The record is from RNAcentral.